UUAUUAUUAUUCACAGUCAGCCAGAUGUUCAGAUUGGGUUUGGCAUUUUUGUCUACCUAUCAAGUCCUUACCAAGGACCUUGAAUAGGCAAAGCUGGAUGUUUGAUAGUGUUACAGAUAUCAUUGCUUUACAUUGCAUGA
Non-coding RNA from Notechis scutatus (mainland tiger snake), 140 nucleotides. NCBI's taxonomy places the organism in Eukaryota, Metazoa, Chordata, Lepidosauria, Squamata, Elapidae. The record is from RefSeq and is a predicted model, not a curated record.